Molecule: unclassified non-coding RNA, 240 nt
Filed under: soil metagenome
Description: partial contains 5.8S ribosomal RNA, internal transcribed spacer 2, and large subunit ribosomal RNA
Source: RNAcentral
AACGGUCUAUACCUGCGGUACCUGCGGAAGGAUCAUUACAGAGUUGCAAAACUCCCAAACCAUUGUGAACGUUACCUUCUCGUUGCUUCGGCGGGCGGCCCGGGUCCUUCCCGGCGCCCCCCGGCCCCUCGCGGGCGCCCGCCGGAGGUAAACCAAACUCUUGAAUUGUAUGGCCUCUCUGAGUCUUCUGUACUGAAUAAGUCAAAACUUUUAGCAAUGGAUCUCUAGAUCGGAAGAGCA